GGGGAUUACGGCAGCGGACACACAGGUGCAGUACGUGGAAAAUACCUCUACCUCUACCUCUAUUACCGCGCGCAGGCGCCUGGCUGAUUUCCUGGCACGGCACGUUACAUUGAUAACGGAGCUGCGCGUUGGGACCUUGACUGGCUCGGUCAACUCUUCCCACCAUGGAGUCGGGAGUCCAGUUGCGGGAGGCGUGCUGUGUUUUGGAGGCUCAAAGUUGAAGCACCAGUCUUGAACACCGGAGGACCUUUUUGAGCUGAUGCUUCCCGCCAUCACCAUGGAAACGGAGGCCAGUCAUAUGCUGGAGGCUGCACUGGAGCAGAUGGACGACAUCAUCGCAGGUUCCAAAGCGGCGGAGUUUUCCAGCAGCGCGUAUGAGCCGCCCUCCCCACUCGGCGCGGCUCCUCUGCAGGUCGUGCAGUUGGCCGAGGACUGAGAGUCGCCCUGGAGCUCCGACCCGACCGGGACGAGAGAGCCGGCCUCAGAGCUCAGCUACCUCGGGCGACGGCACAGAUCCUCGUAGACUGGCUGCAGAGUGGAACU
Molecule: long non-coding RNA, 543 nt
Organism: Gasterosteus aculeatus aculeatus (three-spined stickleback)
Lineage: Eukaryota; Metazoa; Chordata; Actinopteri; Perciformes; Gasterosteidae
Source: Ensembl